RNAcentral lists this ribosomal RNA (575 nucleotides) under Aureobasidium proteae. RNAcentral's name for it is "eukaryotic LSU rRNA". The stretch from base 220 to 373 matches the Rfam family "5.8S ribosomal RNA". The record is from RNAcentral. Lineage: Eukaryota; Fungi; Ascomycota; Dothideomycetes; Dothideales; Saccotheciaceae.
AACAAGGUUUCCGUAGGUGAACCUGCGGAAGGAUCAUUAAAGAGUAAGGGUGCUCAGCGCCCGACCUCCAACCCUUUGUUGUUAAAACUACCUUGUUGCUUUGGCGGGACCGCUCGGUCUCGAGCCGCUGGGGAUUCGUCCCAGGCGAGCGCCCGCCAGAGUUAAACCAAACUCUUGUUAUUUAACCGGUCGUCUGAGUUAAAAUUUUGAAUAAAUCAAAACUUUCAACAACGGAUCUCUUGGUUCUCGCAUCGAUGAAGAACGCAGCGAAAUGCGAUAAGUAAUGUGAAUUGCAGAAUUCAGUGAAUCAUCGAAUCUUUGAACGCACAUUGCGCCCCUUGGUAUUCCGAGGGGCAUGCCUGUUCGAGCGUCAUUACACCACUCAAGCUAUGCUUGGUAUUGGGCGUCGUCCUUAGUUGGGCGCGCCUUAAAGACCUCGGCGAGGCCACUCCGGCUUUAGGCGUAGUAGAAUUUAUUCGAACGUCUGUCAAAGGAGAGGAACUCUGCCGACUGAAACCUUUAUUUUUCUAGGUUGACCUCGGAUCAGGUAGGGAUACCCGCUGAACUUAAGCAUA